This 809-nucleotide long non-coding RNA is filed under the name Homo sapiens (human). Its description in RNAcentral is "HSALNT0151461". The record is from RNAcentral. Lineage: Eukaryota; Metazoa; Chordata; Mammalia; Primates; Hominidae.
UCUUUCCCCUUGGCUCAUGGUCCCUUCCUUCAUCUUCAAAGCCAGCGGUGUAGCAUCGUAGCAUCUUCAUGUCUCCUUGGGAUAAGAUGGGGCUCUCCUGGAUGAUUCAAGAGUCAGAAGUAAACAGACUUAGCAAGGAGCAUAUAUUUCAUGAGGACAUCUUCACAGGGCAUUCGCAGGAUGUCAGAAUCAUGGCCUUGGUGGAAUGAAGGAAACGCAGGACAGGAAACAAGGAGGCCUGAAGUGCAGCCCUGGCCGGCCCCUCCACGCUCUGGGCAGCACCGCAAGCAGACCCCUCGCCACACGGAGCCCUCACUCUUCCUCUGUAGAAGGAGGGGAGGAGACCAGAUUCUCGGGGUUACUGUGAGGACACAUGCGAUGGAAGGAAAUGUAGUUUGUCAAGAUGGCAUCUGUCAUACAUAUGCAAAAUGUCAUUAGGGGCCGGGUGUAGUGGCUCAUGCCUGUAAUCCCAGCACUUUGGGAGGCUAAGGCGGGUGGAUCACCUGAGGUCAGGAGUUUGAGACCAGCCUGGCCAACAUGGUGAAACCCCAUCUCUACUAAAAAUACAAAAAUUAGCCGGGCUUGGUGGCAUGCACCUAUAAUCCCAGCUACUCGGGAGGCUGAGGCAGGAGAAUCACUUGAACCUGGGGGUGGAGGUUGCAGUGAGCCGAGAUCAUGCCACUUCACUCCAGCUUGGGCAAAAGAGCAAGACUCUGUCUUAAAAAAAGAAAUUGUCAUUAGGGAAGAUCCCAGAGAGCACUUCCCUGAGAGGGGCAUGAGUUGUUCUUGGAUGAUUCUCUAUGAAGAAG